RNAcentral lists this long non-coding RNA (1722 nucleotides) under Mus musculus (house mouse). Its description in RNAcentral is "long non-coding RNA chr17:69272883-69274605". The record is from RNAcentral. Lineage: Eukaryota; Metazoa; Chordata; Mammalia; Rodentia; Muridae.
GAAUAAUGAAUUGGCUGUGGGAUGUUUUUGAUAGGUCUAUUUUAAUUAAAAAAUAAAUUUACCCUGUGUUCAUUUUAAAGAAAGAUACAAUAGUGUUGUUGGUGAUGACUGAUUUUGUUCAUACUUCCUUUUCGAGUAAAUCAGUACUUUCCCCUCUAAAACUUGUUUAUGUGUCAGUGCUUAGUUGGGUUGGCGGGUUCAUAGCUGCAAUCCCAGCACUUCAUAGGCAGAAGUUGGUGCUCUUAUCACAAGAACAAAGUGGGGACUGGAGACAUGGCUCAGUGGCUAAGCAUCCUGGCUGCUCUUCCACAGGACUCAGGUUUGAUUCUCAGCAUCCACACGGUAGCUCAUGACCAUCUGUGACUGCAGUUCCAGAGGAUCCAACGCCCUCGUGUAGCCUCUGCAGGCACCAGGCACACAAGUGGUGCACAGACCUACAUGCAGACAAAACACUAAUACACUAGAAUAAAAAAAAUAAUAAUAAUUUAAAAAGCAAAGUGUGUAAGUACAAGGAAGUCAGAAUUCCACGUGGCUUUGGCAUGCAGGACACGCUUACUAAGCUCUUCCAGCUGCAGUCCUGUGGUCCACAGAAAGUUGAAAGAGCUGACAUAUAAUCCCUGCAAGGCCCUGCAUAUAGAUGGCCUGACAUUAUCCUGUCAUGAUAGCCAUCCUUAGAAACUGUGAACUGACUCCCCAACUUCCAGACUCCAAAAUCUCUGCUAAUGUUCAGUUAAGGACAGCCUGCCAAGCCCUCUCUGCCCCUUUCCAAGGCACAUGCCUCUGCCUUUCAAACUCCUGAGCAAGGAAUCCAUUACCGCUCUGUUCUUCACGGAGCCUCAUCCACGUGUGAGCAUUACGCUUGGUGUCUAAGAUAGCAUUGCAUCUGCGUACCAGAGACCUGUCCUGCACACAGGUCUUGUGUGUAGACCACAGGUCUUCAACCGUAGCGUGAAUCCCUUGGUAAGUCUCUAUCUCCCGCUCUUUCUCGAUGCUGGCAGUCGGACCAGGAGGAAGAUGCAGAGAUCAAGGCACAGGUAGAAAACUAAAGAUCUGGCGACCCCCGCCCCUCCCACCAGACCAGUGUGUGAUAAACCAUUGUCUGCCAGGUGUCUUCCGCAUGCUCCCUCUUGGUUACCAUGCCAACAGCGUGCCGAAUGGCGUUUGUCCCCGUGACUACCGUGUCCCUUACCUUUCCCUCUCUUCUCCACUUUUUUCAGAAUAGUCUGAUUAAGCGAAUAAAGGGUGAAAAUGUGUAUGUCAAACAUAGUAAUCUUAUGUUAGAGGUUGGUAUUGGGACCCUCCAGUGCAUGCCUGUGUGUGGUGGUUUUCUCCCUUGGCAUCCCUGUGGACCUGAAUUGUGAUGCAUGACCGCGUUACUCAGCCUGUCAGGGAUGGGCUGACUUCUCGGCUUACUCUGACUUCUCAUGAUCCUAGACUUAGUCCCUUUCCUGUGUGUGUAUUUUGUUUUCAUCCACCCUCUGUAGAACUUACCUUUUAAUUUGGUUUUGUUUUUUUUUUUUUUUGUUUUUUGUUUUUUGUUUUUUUUGUUUGGUUUUUAAUUUUUUAUUUAUUUAUUUUUAUGCUUGUGUGAACCUAAAUUAUUAUUUUCUUUCUUCUCUUUUCCCUGGAAAUACUACAUUUUCACCUCGAGCGUUUGUGGUAGUGUCUUGAACCCUGAUCCAAAUUCCAUUUCCGUUUGACUACUAAUAUGUUUGGUAUACU